RNAcentral lists this ribosomal RNA (562 nucleotides) under uncultured Pelagibacterales bacterium. RNAcentral describes it as "bacterial SSU rRNA". It matches the Rfam family "Bacterial small subunit ribosomal RNA", at positions 89 to 685 of the family's 1533-position model. Lineage: Bacteria; Pseudomonadati; Pseudomonadota; Alphaproteobacteria; Candidatus Pelagibacterales. The record is from RNAcentral.
UACUUAGUGGCAGACGGGUGAGUAACAUGUGGGUAUCUACCCUUUGGCCUGGAAUAACACGAGGAAACUUGUGCUAAUACCGGAUAAGUCUUUACGGAGAAAGCUUUAUGCACCAUUGGAUGAGCCCGCACUUGAUUAGUUUGUUGGUAGGGUAAUGGCCUACCAAGACUAUGAUCAAUAGCUGAUUUGAGAGGAUGAUCAGCCACAUUGGGACUGAGACACGGCCCAAACUCCUACGGGAGGCAGCAGUGGGGAAUCUUGCACAAUGGAGGAAACUCUGAUGCAGCGAUGCCGCGUGAGUGAAGAAGGCCUUUGGGUUGUAAAGCUCUUUCGUCGGGGAAGAAAAUGACUGUACCCGAAUAAGAAGGUCCGGCUAACUUCGUGCCAGCAGCCGCGGUAAUACGAAGGGACCUAGCGUAGUUCGGAAUUACUGGGCUUAAAGAGUUCGUAGGUGGUUGAAAAAGUUGGUGGUGAAAUCCCAGAGCUUAACUCUGGAACUGCCAUCAAAACUUUUCAGCUAGAGUAUGAUAGAGGAAAGCAGAAUUUCUAGUGUAGAGGUGAA